UGGGGAAUUUUGGACAAUGGGCGAAAGCCUGAUCCAGCCAUGCCGCGUGCGGGAAGAAGGCCUUCGGGUUGUAAACCGCUUUAGUCCGGGAAAAAGGGCUGACGUGCUAAUACCUUCGUGCUUUGAUGGUACUGGAAGAAUAAGCACCGGCUAACUACGUGCCAGCAGCCGCGGUAAUACGUAGGGUGCGAGCGUUAAUCGGAAUUACUGGGCGUAAAGCGUGCGCAGGCGGUCUUGUAAGACAGUUGUGAAAGCCCCGGGCUUAACCUGGGAACUGCAAUUGUGACUGCAAGGCUAGAGUGUGUCAGAGGGGGGUGGAAUUCCACGUGUAGCAGUGAAAUGCGUAGAGAUGUGGAGGAACACCGAUGGCGAAGGCAGUCCCCUGGGAUAACACUGACGCUCAUGCACGAAAGCGUGGGGAGCAAACA
RNAcentral lists this ribosomal RNA (428 nucleotides) under uncultured bacterium. Its description in RNAcentral is "bacterial SSU rRNA". It matches the Rfam family "Bacterial small subunit ribosomal RNA", at positions 355 to 774 of the family's 1533-position model. The record is from RNAcentral.